CUAUGGCUUCCUGUGGGGUCCCUGUGGGGUCCUAUGGGGUCCUGUGGGGUCCUGUGGGGUCCUAUGGGGUCCUAUGGGGGACCUAUAGGGUUCUGUGGGGGGCUAUGGGGUCCUAUAGGGUUCUAUGGGGUUCUAUGGGGUCCUAUAGGGUCCUAUGGGGUCCUGUGGGGUUCUAUAGGGUCCUAUGGGGUCCUAUGGGGUUCUAUGGGGUCCUAUGGGGUUCUAUAGGGUUCUAUGGGGUUUAUGGACCCAACACUGCUCCUAUGGGGUCCUAUGGGGUUCUGUAGGGUCCUAUGGGGUCCUAUGGGGUUCUAUGGGGUCCUAUGGGGUUCUAUAGGGUCCUAUGGGGUCCUGUGGGGUCCUAUGGGGUUCUAUAGGGUUCUAUAGGGUUCUAUGGGGUCCUAUAGGGUUCUAUGGGGUCCUGUGGGGUCCUAUAGGGUUCUAUGGGGGUCCUAUGGGGUUCUAUAGGGUCCCUAUGGGGUUCUAUAGGGUCCUAUGGGGUCCUAUAGGGUUCUAUGGGGUUCUAUAGGGUCCUAUGGGGUGCUAUGGGGCUCUAUAGGGUCCUAUGGGGUCCUAUGGGGUCCUAUAGGGUCCCUAUGGGGUUCUAUGGGGUCCCUAUGGGGUCCUGUGGGGUCCUAUGGGUUCUCUGGGGGUCCCAUGGGGUUCUAUGGGGUCCUAUAGGAUCCUAUGAGGUCCUAUGGGGUUCUAUGGGGUCCCUAUGGGGUUUAUAUGGGACCAGGGGUGAUGAUGUGGACCCAACACUGCUCCUAUGGGGUCCCGUGGGGUCCUAUGGGGUCCUGUGGGGGUCCUAUGGGGGUCCUAUGGGGUUCUAUGGGGUCCUAUGGGGUUCUAUGGGGUCCUAUGGGGGUCCUAUGGGGGUCCUAUGGGGUUUAUGGACCCAACACUGCUCCUAUGGGGUCCUAUGGGGUUCUAUGGGGUUCUAUAGGGUCCUAUGGGGUCCUAUAGGGUUCUAUGGGGUCCUGUGGGGUCCUAUAGGGUUCUAUGGGGUUCUAUGGGGUCCUGUGGAGUUCUAUGGGGUCCUAUAGGGUCCUGUGGGGUCCCGUUGGGGUCCUAUAGGGUCCUGUGGGGACCUAUGGGGUUCUAUAGGGUCCCAUGGGGUCCCUAUGGGGUUUAUAUGGGACCAGGGGUGAUGAUGUGGACCCAACAUGCGGCUGCAGCGCUUCGCGGAGCUGCUCAACUGCCAGCACAGCAAGCACAGCUGAGACCUAUGGGGUGCUGUGGGUCUAUGGGGUCCUAUGGGGUUCUAUGGGGUCCUGUGGGGUCCUAUAGGGUCCUAUGGGGUCCUAUGGGGGUCCUAUGGGGUUCUAUAGGGUCCUAUAGGGUUCUAUGGGGUCCUGUGGGGUCCUAUGGGGUUCUAUGGGGGUCCUAUGGGGUUCUGUGGGGGUCCCAUGGGGUUCUAUAGGGUCCUGUGGGGUCCUGUGGGGUUCUAUAGGGUCCCUAUGGGGGCCCUAUGGGGGUCCUAUGGGGUUCUGUGGGGUUCUAUAGGGUCCUAUGGGGUUCUAUAGGGUCCUAUGGGAUCCUCUGGGGUUCUAUAGGGUGCUGUGGGGGUCCUAUGGGCUUUAUAUGGGGUUUAUAUAGGACCAAGGGUACGUAUAUAGGACCAGGAGCAUCUAU
Coturnix japonica (Japanese quail) is the source of this 1635-nucleotide long non-coding RNA. The record is from Ensembl. Lineage: Eukaryota; Metazoa; Chordata; Aves; Galliformes; Phasianidae.